RNAcentral lists this unclassified non-coding RNA (287 nucleotides) under Hevea brasiliensis (rubber tree). The record is from RNAcentral. Lineage: Eukaryota; Viridiplantae; Streptophyta; Magnoliopsida; Malpighiales; Euphorbiaceae.
GUGGAUGUUAUCUUGUAAAUUUUGAGCAUGUACUAUGGGAAACCUACCAUCAAUAUGUUGCAUUCAAAGAUAACCUCCAUUUUGCAUGUCCUUCCCAUUCCACAAAUCAUAUAAUAAUAGUUUUCUGGUGGUAUUUAUGAGGAACAAAAAGCCUUAAAUAUCUUUGGUUUCAAUAUGGCUUCAAUAUUUAAUUGCUAUUUUGUUAUUGACUGGACACUAGUUCCAAAAAUAUAAGAUUUGGUGGGCUAAUGCAUUGUGAUAUAAUGAUGUCAACACUUUGUGUAGGU